UACGGAGGGUGCAAGCGUUAUCCGGAUUUACUGGGUUUAAAGGGUGCGCAGGCGGCCCAUUAAGUCAGAGGUGAAAGCCCACGGCUCAACCGUGGAAUUGCCUUUGAAACUGAUGGGCUUGAGUACAGUUGGCGUGGGUGGAAUGCAUCAUGUAGCGGUGAAAUGCAUAGAUAUGAUGCAGAACGCCAAUCGCGAAGGCAGCUCACGAAACUGUUACUGACGCUCAUGCACGAAAGCGUGGGGAGCGAACAGG
RNAcentral lists this unclassified non-coding RNA (253 nucleotides) under uncultured Bacteroidia bacterium. RNAcentral describes it as "contains 16S-23S intergenic spacer region". It matches the Rfam family "Bacterial small subunit ribosomal RNA", at positions 524 to 776 of the family's 1533-position model. The record is from RNAcentral. Lineage: Bacteria; Pseudomonadati; Bacteroidota; Bacteroidia.